CCCUUAGAUGUUCUGGGCUGCACGCGCGCUACACUGAUGCACUCAACGAGUUUACGACCUUGCCCGAUAGGGUUGGGUAAUCUUUUUAAAAUGCAUCGUGAUUGGGAUAGAUUAUUGCAAUUAUUAAUCUUCAACGAGGAAUUCCUAGUAAGCGCGAGUCAUCAGCUCGUGCUGAUUACGUCCCUGCCCUUUGUACACACCGCCCGUCGCUCCUACCGAUUGAGUGCUCAGGUGAAUAAUUCGGACUGCAGCAAUGUUUGGAUCCCGAACGUUGCAGCGGAAAGUUUAGUGAACCUUAUCACUUAGAGGAAGGAGAAGUCGUAACA
This 326-nucleotide ribosomal RNA is filed under the name uncultured eukaryote. RNAcentral's name for it is "partial 18S ribosomal RNA". It matches the Rfam family "Eukaryotic small subunit ribosomal RNA", at positions 1470 to 1796 of the family's 1831-position model. The record is from RNAcentral.